UCGAGCGGAAACGAUGAUAGCUUGCUAUCAGGCGUCGAGCGGCGGACGGGUGAGUAAUACUUAGGAAUCUACCUAGUAGUGGGGGAUAGCUCGGGGAAACUCGAAUUAAUACCGCAUACGACCUACGGGAGAAAGGGGGCAACUUGUUGCUCUCGCUAUUAGAUGAGCCUAAGUCGGAUUAGCUAGAUGGUGGGGUAAAGGCCUACCAUGGCGACGAUCUGUAGCUGGUCUGAGAGGAUGAUCAGCCACACCGGGACUGAGACACGGCCCGGACUAAUACGGGAGGCAGCAGUGGGGAAUAUUGGACAAUGGGGGCAACCCUGAUCCAGCCAUGCCGCGUGUGUGAAGAAGGCCUUUUGGUUGUAAGGCACUUUAAGCAGUGAAGAAGACUCCGUGGUUAAUACCCACGGACGAUGACAUUAGCUGCAGAAUAAGCACCGGCUAACUCUGUGCCAGCAGCCGCGGUAAUACAGAGGGUGCAAGCGUUAAUCGGAAUUACUGGGCGUAAAGCGAGCGUAGGUGGCUUGAUAAGUCAGAUGUGAAAUCCCCGGGCUUAACCUGGGAACUGCAUCUGAUACUGUUAGGCUAGAAUAGGUGAGAGGAAGGUAGAAUUCCAGGUGUAGCGGUGAAAUGCGUAGAGAUCUGGAGGAAUACCGAUGGCGAAGGCAGCCUUCUGGCAUCAUAUUGACACUGAGGUUCGAAAGCGUGGGUAGCAAACAGGAUUAGAUACCCUGGUAGUCCACGCCGUAAACGAUGUCUACUAGUCGUUGGGUCCCUUGAGGACUUAGUGACGCAGCUAACGCAAUAAGUAGACCGCCUGGGGAGUACGGCCGCAAGGUUAAAACUCAAAUGAUUGACGGGGGCCCGCACAAGCGGUGGAGCAUGUGUUUUAAUUCGAUGCAACGCGAAAAACCCUACCUG
RNAcentral lists this ribosomal RNA (921 nucleotides) under uncultured Psychrobacter sp. RNAcentral describes it as "bacterial SSU rRNA". It matches the Rfam family "Bacterial small subunit ribosomal RNA", at positions 62 to 977 of the family's 1533-position model. Lineage: Bacteria; Pseudomonadati; Pseudomonadota; Gammaproteobacteria; Moraxellales; Moraxellaceae. The record is from RNAcentral.